RNAcentral lists this long non-coding RNA (682 nucleotides) under Gallus gallus (chicken). The record is from RNAcentral. Lineage: Eukaryota; Metazoa; Chordata; Aves; Galliformes; Phasianidae.
GGGAGCUUAGAAAACUGCCUUUAUUCUAUUAGUUGUUGGAAAAAUGAAAAUACAGAAAGUUUAGUUGGCUGCAGAACAGCAAGAAGUUCACAGGUUAGGAGUCUGAUCACUACGUGGUAACCAAACUUACACAAAAAGUUUCCUUUUUUUUUUUCUUUUUUCUUUUCUUUUAGUUUUGAAACUGGGUCCAGCAAUGAGCUUAAGGCAACUGAACAGUUCAGAAGCUUUGAGUGUGAGCAGGCUGUCUUUUCUCAUCCCUACGGCACGUCAUGGAAAAAAACUCCUCCUGGCUGUGCAGAGCACUGGGAUCAUUCAGAGAGAAGAAAGAAGAGAGAGAAUUGUCUUCAAUUAGCGCCUGGCAUAUCCUGUGAGUGCAGAAAAGGUUUGACAGGCUCCUGCAACAACACAAAGGGACGUUAAAGCCAAGCGACGUGCUCAGGAAGGAGCUGCAGUAUCUGCUCUGAUUGCUUCAGAACACACACGCACACACCACUGAAGCCAUUUCCCUUUACAGCUUGAUCAUGAAGCGCUCGCUAUGCAACACACAGCAGGCUGCCGAUGCCCACUCCACGCUCUGGGCACAACUGACAUGCACUUUCAUAGCAUCACUGAAUGGCCUGGGUUGAAAAGGACCACAGUGCUCAUCCAGUUCCAACCCCCUGCUAUGUGCAGGGUCGCCAAC